GUGUAACCAGAGAUGCUCCAGUUUACAGGAACUGCUUAAAUCAACAAAACCUGUUAGGUCUGUAUUGCUGUAAACUAUAUCAGUAGCUGAUUUUGCACUCUCUUUUCUAAACGCAUACAGUGAGAAAUCAGCGACUCUGCUGUUUGGGAAGAGAUUAAACAUUACUCAUGACUGUGUGGACAGGGCCUGUAAAGUAGGACACAAGCUGGGAUUAUCAUGGCCAGUGUUUAUCUCUCCUGUAUGAAGACUAGGACAAAUGUGAAAGAGAGAACAAUUAAAGACUGGUCAUAUUCCUCACGUAAGCACCUGGUAAAAUAUUAAGUAUCCCAUGCAAAAAUUAACCAAGGUUUUAUUGUGGCAAACGUGUAGUAACCAUGGUUUUUUGUGUAUUGUUUUUACUAUGGUUUUGGAAAACCAUGGCUAUUUUGUGGUUACCAACCAUGGUUUAACUGUAGUAAAACCAUAGUUAAUUUUUGUAAGCGAUUCAGUGGAUUAUUUUAGGGCAUACAGUACAGAUUUCACUUUGUGACCUAAUUACAUUUCUGAUGUUUAUAUCAGUCGUCACCAACCCUGUUCCUGGUGAUCUACCAUACUGCAUGCUUUAGAUCCAACCCUACCUCAAAUUUUAAGGAAGCUGUGAAAAGCUUGAUUAGCAGGUUCAGGUGUGUUUGGUUGUGGUUGGAUAUGAACUCUGCCGAAAAGAAGAUCUCCAGGAAAAGGAAAUAAACUCAUAUGGUUGUGAAAGGACUUGAUGACAGAACCAGGCCACACAGCAAUGCAUUUUGGGAUUCCCAACAAGCCCGAGUAACACUGCGGCCAGAUCUCCUCCUGUGCCAGAGCAAUGCAGGACAUUUAAAGCAGGCAGGUCAGCAUUACUUCAGAGCAAUGAGCAUAAACAGUAAAGAAACUUAUAAUGUUAAUGAUUAUUAUUCACUCAAAUCUGAUAUUAGUGAGAUUUACAUUUACUUCUAUUGCUAUGUACAUUUCUUUGUCAUUUUUUGUGUUUUCCUAGGGUCGUAACCACAUCUUUGAUUAUAGGUGGAAACAUGUCCCACUAAAUGUCUAUUGUGGAUAAGAUCCUGUGUUACUUGGGAUCAAACCCAUGACCUUUUGUGCUGCUUAACAAAUGCUACUAAUUGUGCUACAAUUGACAAAGCUUGUUUUGACUAGAGGCAAAAACUGAAUUUAUCAAUUCACUGUUGUCAUGGAAAAUCAAUCUUUGCAUUUCAGCUGCGCCAUGAAAAGAUGAUGACAGCGAGCAUUCAGUGUCAUAGACUUGCGUCAAUAGCUUUGAGUGUUACAUAGAUUUAAUCCACACCAUUUCUAUAGUCGAAAUGUAUGUUAAUUUAAGAUUUCAAGUACUUUAAAUAAAAAUAUCUAAAAUGAAGUAUCCAUCCUUCCACUGAUGAAUUCCUGGCGGCACCUUUAUGACAGUUUCCAUUGGCUGAUACCCAACAGCUCACCUUUUAAAAUUCACCCCUGGCAUACGAUAAACACCUGUCCACCCUUUCACGCCUGUCCCGCUAUAUAGACCCAUUUUCCCUUAUCACUGGCAGCUCAUUAAGACAGCCUUCAUGGGCAACAGUCAAAGGCCAAAUAUCUGGCACCCUUUUGUAAAUGCUUUUCAUGUUUCAAAGUGUAUCAUAACUUAUCAUUCAGCUUUUUAUGCCCUGUCAAUUCUAAAUCAGCACACUUUCAGUAGACUACUCAGUUUUCCUGUCAUGUGUGAACAGCUGGGAGCCUCUGAAAGCCUAAGUUCAUGCAAGCAGAGGUGAGGACCGGUCUGAUUACGGCACCAGAAUGUCUCUGACCCUCAGGCGAAUACAGACAGAUCAUUGUUUGGAGAUACAGUGUCUCCUGUAAGUGCAGAAACGUUACAUUGUAUCAGCUUCACAUUAACAAAUGAUCUAUACUGAGCAAAGAACUACGUUACUGGGAGGGGGGAAUGUGAAUUUGAUGAAUGCCAUGUUUUGUUGUCACUUUUAAAGUCAAAGUUAUUAAUGUUUAUUUGUUUCUAAUGUUAUUUUAUAGCUCAUUAUUUAUAAUUUUCAAUAAUAUUUUGUGUUUGUUUUUAUAUGCUUAAAAUGCUGAGUUGUUUUUUACACAUAGCUGGUGAAAUAUUGGACAGAACAAACACAUUGGAUAAACCUAUGCUGGGUUGUUUAAAGCUAAAUGGAAACAACAACCCACAUAGGUUUAUUUAAAACCCAGCGUGUGUGUGUUCUGUCCCAUAUUUAACCAGCAAUGGGUUAAAUGUGCCAAAGAAUGCAUUGAAAUAAUAUGUUUAAAUUGUUCUAAAGUUUCUAAAUAGGUGAUAAUGUGUUAUAUUCUUAUUAAUAAUAACAGUUUAUUCACUUUGUUCUCAAAUUAAAUUAUACUGCAAACCACUUUUCUCUGCAGAUCCUCAUUUGCCCUCCAUACCCUCAUUAUGACCUUUAAGAGCUCUCAUCUUAAAGCGAUACUCCAGCCAAAUAUCAAAAUUACCCCAUGAUUUACUCACCCUCAAGCAAUCUGAUAUUCAUAUGUCCAUCAU
Molecule: long non-coding RNA, 2533 nt
Organism: Paramisgurnus dabryanus
Lineage: Eukaryota; Metazoa; Chordata; Actinopteri; Cypriniformes; Cobitidae
Source: RefSeq, a predicted model, not a curated record